Molecule: ribosomal RNA, 254 nt
Filed under: uncultured bacterium
Lineage: Bacteria
Description: partial 16S ribosomal RNA
Rfam family: Bacterial small subunit ribosomal RNA
Source: RNAcentral
UACAGAGGUCUCAAGCGUUGUUCGGAUUCAUUGGGCGUAAAGGGCGCGUAGGCGGCGUGGUAAGUCAGCUGUGAAAUCUCCGAGCUUAACUCGGAACGGUCAGCUGAUACUGCUGUGCUAGAGUACAGAAAGGGCAAUCGGAAUUCUUGGUGUAGCGGUGAAAUGCGUAGAUAUCAAGAGGAACACCUGAGGCGAAGGCGGGUUGCUAGGCUGAUACUGACGCUGAGUGCGCGAAAGCUAGGGUAGCAAACGGG